UUUGAAAUGAUUAAUUCGUGUAGAUUUAUACUAAAAAUAGUGAUAUCCACUUUACACACAUUGGUCUUUGCUUUUAAAAACUCUAUUUUAUACAGUUAUGCCAUUGACACUAGUCUGAACAGUUUUGAAAUCGGAUAAUUAUACCCAAAACAAUUAAUUGCAAUGUACCUUCUAGAAAACAAAAUGGAUGUGUUCAAUUUUAGGUAAAUCUGGUGAGUUUGUUGUUAAAAAAAAAUUAAAAACAAGACAAAACUGUGAAAAGCCCGUGUUCAAAGAAGUUGAUAUAUACCCCUCAGGAUUAAUUGUGUAUUUCCUUAUCCGUUGUUAAGUGUGUCACUUGUAUAUCCUUUAAUAUACAUGUAGUUGUUUUUAGAAUGUUUUAUAUUUCUUACGUUUUCCA
Molecule: long non-coding RNA, 400 nt
Filed under: Mytilus galloprovincialis (Mediterranean mussel)
Lineage: Eukaryota; Metazoa; Mollusca; Bivalvia; Mytilida; Mytilidae
Source: RNAcentral